AGUGGCGGACGGGUGAAUAUCACGUAAGCAAUCUACCUCUUUGUCUGGGAUAACCUGCCGAAAGGCGGGCUAAUACUGGAUAUUAUCCAGACCUCGCAUGAGAUUUGGAUGAAAGAUUUAUCGCUAAGAGAUGAGCUUGCGGCCUAUCAGCUAGUUGGUGAGGUAACGGCUCACCAAGGCUAUGACGGGUAGCUGGUCUGAGAGGACGAUCAGCCACACUGGAACUGAGACACGGUCCAGACUCCUACGGGAGGCAGCAGUGAGGAAUUUUCCGCAAUGGGCGAAAGCCUGACGGAGCGACGCCGUGUGAGUGAUGAAGGCUUUCGGGUCUUAAAACUCUGUCAGCAGGAACGAUAAUGACGGUACCUGCAGAGGAAGCCCCGGCUAACUACGUGCCAGCAGCCGCGGUAAUACGUAGGGGGCAAGCGUUGUCCGGAAUUAUUGGGCGUAAAGCGCAUGUAGGCGGCUUUGUAAGUCAAGUGUUAAAGCCCCGGGCUCAACCCGGGUUCGCAUUUGAUACUGUGAAGCUAGAGAAAUGUAGAGGAUAGCGGAACUACCGGUGUAGCGGUGAAAUGCGUAGAUAU
This 584-nucleotide ribosomal RNA is filed under the name uncultured bacterium. RNAcentral's name for it is "bacterial SSU rRNA". It matches the Rfam family "Bacterial small subunit ribosomal RNA", at positions 94 to 697 of the family's 1533-position model. The record is from RNAcentral.